Long non-coding RNA from Sapajus apella (tufted capuchin), 237 nucleotides. RefSeq lists it as uncharacterized. Lineage: Eukaryota; Metazoa; Chordata; Mammalia; Primates; Cebidae. The transcript has 3 exons. The record is from RefSeq and is a predicted model, not a curated record.
AAAAGCACUCAAUAAACUGAUAUUGAAAGAACAUGCCUCAGAAUAAUAAGAGCCAUCUGUGGCAAACCCACAGCUAACAUCAUUCUGAAUGGGCAAAAGCUGAAAACGUUCCCUUUGAAAUCAGCCCAAGACAUGGAUGCCCUCUCUCACCACUCCUAUUUAACGUAAUAUUGGAAGUCUUGGCCAAGACAAUCAGGCAAGAGAAUGAUAAAGCACAUCCAAAUAGAAAGAGAGGAA